GCCGGGCGUGGUGGUGCGUGCCUGUAGUCCCAACUACUUGGGAGGUUGAGGCUGGAGGAUCUCUUGAGUCCAGGAGUUCUGGGCUGUAGUGCAGGAUGCCCAUCAGGUGUCUGCACUAAGUUCAGCAACAAUAUGGUGACCUCCCAGGAGCGGGGAACCACCAGGUUGCCUAAGGAGGGGUGAACUGGCCCAGGUCAGAAACGGAGCAGGUCAAAACUCCCGUGAUCAGUAGUGGGAUCACGCCUGUGAACAGCCACUGCACUCCAGCCUGGGCAACAUAGUGAGACCCCCUUCU
RNAcentral lists this signal recognition particle RNA (295 nucleotides) under Aotus nancymaae (Ma's night monkey). Its description in RNAcentral is "Metazoan signal recognition particle RNA (ENSANAG00000003695.1)". It matches the Rfam family "Metazoan signal recognition particle RNA". Rfam says of the family: The signal recognition particle (SRP) is a universally conserved ribonucleoprotein. It is involved in the co-translational targeting of proteins to membranes. The eukaryotic SRP consists of a 300-nucleotide 7S RNA and six proteins: SRPs 72, 68, 54, 19, 14, and 9. The record is from Rfam by way of RNAcentral. Lineage: Eukaryota; Metazoa; Chordata; Mammalia; Primates; Aotidae.